AGUUAAAAGUAUUUUCGUAAAUAUUUUUCUCUUUCUGGAUAAUGGGCUAUUUCAACCCACAGCAGUGCAACAUCUGUCAGUACUUCUGGUGCCU
Molecule: small RNA, 94 nt
Organism: Salmonella enterica subsp. enterica serovar Typhimurium
Lineage: Bacteria; Pseudomonadati; Pseudomonadota; Gammaproteobacteria; Enterobacterales; Enterobacteriaceae
Rfam family: ES056 sRNA
About the family: Differentially expressed under several chemical stress and fermentation conditions.
Source: Rfam